This 496-nucleotide ribosomal RNA is filed under the name uncultured bacterium. Its description in RNAcentral is "partial 16S ribosomal RNA". It matches the Rfam family "Bacterial small subunit ribosomal RNA", at positions 29 to 507 of the family's 1533-position model. The record is from RNAcentral.
AUGCACGCUGGCGGCGUGCCUAAUACAUGCAAGUCGCGCGAACAGACGAGGAGCUUGCUCCUCUGACGUUAGCGGCGGACGGGUGAGUAACACGUGGAUAACCUACCUAUAAGACUGGGAUAACUUCGGGAAACCGGAGCUAAUACCGGAUAAUAUAUUGAACCGCAUGGUUCAAUAGUGAAAGACGGUUUUGCUGUCACUUAUAGAUGGAUCCGCGCCGCAUUAGCUAGUUGGUAAGGUAACGGCUUACCAAGGCAACGAUGCGUAGCCGACCUGAGAGGGUGAUCGGCCACACUGGAACUGAGCCACGGUCCAGACUCCUACGGGAGGCAGCAGUAGGGAAUCUUCCGCAAUGGGCGAAAGCCUGACGGAGCAACGCCGCGUGAGUGAUGAAGGUCUUCGGAUCGUAAAACUCUGUUAUUAGGGAAGAACAAAUGUGUAAGUAACUAUGCACGUCUUGACGGUACCUAAUCAGAAAGCCACGGCUAACUACGUG